AGAGUUUGAUCMUGGCUCAGAGUGAACGCUGGCGGCGUGCUUAACACAUGCAAAGUCGAACGGAGUAAAAGUAGCUUGCUAUUUUACUUAGUGGCGCACGGGUGAGUAAUGUAUAGCUAACCUGCCCUUUAGUGGGGGACAACAGUUGGAAACGACUGCUAAUACCCCAUACUCCUUCUUAUCAUAAGGUAAGUUGGGAAAGAUUUAUUGCUAAAGGAUGGGGCUUUAUGGUAUCAGCUAGUUGGUGGGGUAAUGGCCUACCAAGGCGAUGACGCCUACCUGGUCUGAGAGGAUGAUCAGGCACACUGGAACUGAGACACGGUCCAGACUCCUACGGGAGGCAGCAGUGGGGAAUAUUGCACAAUGGGGGAAACCCUGAUGCAGCAACGCCGCGUGGAGGAUGACGCAUUUCGGUGUGUAAACUCCUUUUUAUAAGGGGAAGAUAAUGACGGUACCUUAUGAAUAAGCACCGGCUAACUCCGUGCCAGCMGCCGCGGUAAUA
This 502-nucleotide ribosomal RNA is filed under the name bacterium enrichment culture clone Cont108_3130. Its description in RNAcentral is "bacterial SSU rRNA". It matches the Rfam family "Bacterial small subunit ribosomal RNA", at positions 8 to 525 of the family's 1533-position model. The record is from RNAcentral.